GGUGGGGUUCCCGAGCGGCCAAAGGGAGCAGACUGUAAAUCUGCCGUCAUCGACUUCGAAGGUUCGAGUCCUUCCCCCACCACCA
This 85-nucleotide transfer RNA is filed under the name Klebsiella pneumoniae. RNAcentral describes it as "tRNA-Tyr". It matches the Rfam family "tRNA". From Rfam's summary of the family: Transfer RNA (tRNA) molecules are approximately 80 nucleotides in length. Their secondary structure includes four short double-helical elements and three loops (D, anti-codon, and T loops). Further hydrogen bonds mediate the characteristic L-shaped molecular structure. tRNAs have two regions of fundamental functional importance: the anti-codon, which is responsible for specific mRNA codon recognition, and the 3' end, to which the tRNAs corresponding amino acid is attached (by aminoacyl-tRNA synthetases). tRNAs cope with the degeneracy of the genetic code in two manners: having more than one tRNA (with a specific anti-codon) for a particular amino acid; and 'wobble' base-pairing, i.e. permitting non-standard base-pairing at the 3rd anti-codon position. The record is from RNAcentral. Lineage: Bacteria; Pseudomonadati; Pseudomonadota; Gammaproteobacteria; Enterobacterales; Enterobacteriaceae. RNAcentral also lists the same sequence under 2 other names.